This 87-nucleotide microRNA precursor is filed under the name Olea europaea subsp. europaea. Lineage: Eukaryota; Viridiplantae; Streptophyta; Magnoliopsida; Lamiales; Oleaceae. The record is from RNAcentral.
GUGACAGAUAGAGAGUAAGCACCCAUAGCUUCGAGCAUGGAGAUAUGAUGCAAGAAAACACCAUGUGUGCUCACUCUCUUCUGUCAC